This is a long non-coding RNA of Megalobrama amblycephala (Wuchang bream), 726 nucleotides long. RefSeq lists it as uncharacterized. The record is from RefSeq and is a predicted model, not a curated record. NCBI's taxonomy places the organism in Eukaryota, Metazoa, Chordata, Actinopteri, Cypriniformes, Xenocyprididae. The transcript is spliced from 3 exons.
CACAGAUUAAUCCAUUCCGUAUUGACCUUUGAACCUGGAGCCGUUCUAGCCACCAUUCGACUGUAAAAUGAAGGAGAGAGACGACUGCUGCGCUGACGGACAGAACGAGCAGAGCUCCUCCCUUGUGCACGCGAGCUCUCUCUGUUUUCAAAAUCCAGCUCCCGUCUGUGUCUCUGGCUGUGAGUGUGUUGCUGUAUAUAGCUCAGUGCUGAUGGGGAGAGACCAGACCUUGACUCAUAAAGAUGAUAAAGUCUGCUGCGGCGUCAGGCCUGGACACUCAGAGAGGCCGAAUAUUGUAGAACUGGAGUCACCAAUCUCAAAUUCUCACUGGUCAGAGGAUCAGUCUCCAUCAGAUUGUGAACUUAUGGCCACAUGAGGAAGUGUCACAAAUCCUUGUGUUGUCCUUGCCGUGCACCAUCCCAAUUGAAGUCAAUGGAUUUGCAGCAUUCUUUAAACUGUAGUGUGUACGUGCCCACAGUUUUAGUGUAGUUGUUGAUGCACUGCUUGUGUUACAGCUGUAAAAAUAAACACACACCAACACAGCAUGUAUAAAACAACAGACUCUCAGCACUGAAACGCUCAUACAUACAAACAUCUCACAGCGACGCGUGCGUUUUUUACCAUCCAAACACACAUUCCCAGUGCUGUUUACCCUUGAAUCCAAGUUGCAUCAUCUCUGUGUGUGUGUGUGUGUGUGUGUGUGUGGGUUCAGUGCUUUGGAGGCAG